CAAGUAAGACAGGUAAUCGCGGCUGUCAGGACCGAAAGGGGACAGGCGAGGAAAGUCCGGGCUUCACAGGGCAGGAUGCCGGAUAACGUCCGGUGGAGGUGACUCCAAGGCAAGUGCAACAGAAAUAUACCGCCUGUGCAUGCAGGUAAGGGUGGAAUGGCAGUUUAAGAGACUACCGCUUCUCUGGUAACAGCGAAGGCAGAUGUAAACCCCAUCCGAAGCAAGACCGGAUAAAGACGAUGUGGCGGCCCGUCACGUCUUAGGUAGGUCGCUUGAACCUGCCGGUAACGGCAGGUCUAGAAAGAUGAUUACCCAACGACAUAACCCGGCUUAUCGUUUUGCUUGCAUA
This 349-nucleotide RNase P RNA is filed under the name Mediterraneibacter gnavus. Its description in RNAcentral is "RNase P RNA component class A". It matches the Rfam family "Bacterial RNase P class A". From Rfam's summary of the family: Ribonuclease P (RNase P) is a ubiquitous endoribonuclease, found in archaea, bacteria and eukarya as well as chloroplasts and mitochondria. Its best characterised activity is the generation of mature 5'-ends of tRNAs by cleaving the 5'-leader elements of precursor-tRNAs. Cellular RNase Ps are ribonucleoproteins. Lineage: Bacteria; Bacillati; Bacillota; Clostridia; Lachnospirales; Lachnospiraceae. The record is from RNAcentral. RNAcentral also lists the same sequence under 3 other names.